This 450-nucleotide ribosomal RNA is filed under the name uncultured bacterium. RNAcentral describes it as "partial 16S ribosomal RNA". It matches the Rfam family "Bacterial small subunit ribosomal RNA", at positions 354 to 796 of the family's 1533-position model. The record is from RNAcentral.
GUGGGGAAUAUUGGACAAUGGGCGAAAGCCUGAUCCAGCCAUGCCGCGUGUGUGAAGAAGGUCUUCGGAUUGUAAAGCACUUUAAGUUGGGAGGAAGGGCAGUAAGUUAAUACCUUGCUGUUUUGACGUUACCGACAGAAUAAGCACCGGCUAACUUCGUGCCAGCAGCCGCGGUAAUACGAAGGGUGUAAGCGUUAAUCGGAAUUACUGGGCGUAAACCGCGCGUAGGUGGUUUUGUAAGUUGGAUGUGAAAUCCCCGGGCUCAACCUGGGAACUGCCUCCAAAACUGCAUGACUAGAGUACGGUAGAGGGUAGUGGAAUUUCCUGUGUAGCGGUGAAAUGCGUAGAUAUAGGAAGGAACACCAGUGGCGAAGGCGACUACCUGGACUGAUACUGACACUGAGGUGCGAAAGCGUGGGGAGCAAACAGGAUUAGAAACCCCAGUAGUCC